UACGUAGGGAGCAAGCGUUGUCCGGAAUCAUUGGGCGUAAAGCGCGCGUAGGUGGCUUCGUAAGUCCGUUGUGAAAGUCAAAGGCUCAACCUUUGAAAGCCGAUGGAUACUGCGGAGCUAGAGUACGGAAGAGGCGAGUGGAAUUCCUGGUGUAGCGGUGGAAUGCGUAGAGAUGUGGAGGAACACCAGUGGCGAAGGCGACUCUCUGGGCUGUAACUGACGCUGAGGCGCGAAAGCGUGGGGAGCAAACAGG
RNAcentral lists this ribosomal RNA (253 nucleotides) under uncultured bacterium. Its description in RNAcentral is "partial 16S ribosomal RNA". It matches the Rfam family "Bacterial small subunit ribosomal RNA", at positions 524 to 776 of the family's 1533-position model. The record is from RNAcentral.